CCUGGUUUGAUCCUGCCAGUAGUCAUAUGCUUGUCUCAAAGACUAAGCCAUGCAAGUCUAAGUACAUGCUUUUACAAAGUGAAACCGCGAAUGGCUCAUUAAAUCAGUUAUGGUUCCUUAGAUCGUACUAUCCUACUUGGAUAACUGUGGUAAUUCUAGAGCUAAUACAUGCAGCAGAACUCAGACCUUACGGGACGAGUGCUUUUAUUAGACCAAGACCAAUCGGGCUUCGGCUCGACACCCAUGGCGACUCUGGAUAACUUUGGGCUGAUCGCACGAUCUUGUAUCGGCGACGUUUCUUUUUAAGUGUCUGCCUUAUCAACUGUCGAUGGUAGGUUAUGCGCCUACCAUGGUCGUAACGGGUGACGGGGAAUCAGGGUUCGAUUCCGGAGAGGGAGCCUGAGAAACGGCUACCACAUCCAAGGAAGGCAGCAGGCGCGCAAAUUACCCACUCCCGGCAAGGGGAGGUAGUGACGAAAAAUAACGAUGCGGGACUCUUUUGAGGCCCCGCAAUCGGAAUGAGUACACUCGCUAAUUCCAGCUCCCAAUAGCGUAUAUUAAAGUUGUUGCGGGUAAAAAGCUCGUAGUUGGAUCUCAGUUCGAGACUGGCGGUCCGCCGUUCGGUGGUUACUGCCAGGACUCAACAUCCUGCCGGUUUUCCCCUGGUGCUCUUCACUGAGUGUCUCGGGUGCCCGGCACGUUUACUUUGAAAAAAUUAGAGUGCUCAAAGCAGGCGUUUAGCCUGAAUAAUGGUGCAUGGAAUAAUGUAAUAGGAUCUCGGUUCUAUUGUGUUGGUUUUCGGAACACGAGGUAAUGAUUAAAAGGGACAGACGGGGGCAUUCGUAUUGCGACGCUAGAGGUGAAAUUCUUGGACCGUCGCAAGACGAACUACUGCGAAAGCAUUUGCCAAGCAUGUUUUCAUCAAUCAAGAACGAAAGUUAGAGGUUCGAAGGCGAUCAGAUACCGCCCUAGUUCUAACCAUAAACGAUGCCAACCAGCAAUCAGCCUGAGUUCCUCAAAUGACUCGGCUGGCGGCUUCCGGGAAACCAAAGUUUAUGGGUUCCGGGGGAAGUAUGGUUGCAAAGCUGAAACUUAAAGGAAUUGACGGAAGGGCACCACCAGGAGUGGAGCCUGCGGCUUAAUUUGACUCAACACGGGAAAACUUACCCGGCCCGGACACCGGAAGGAUUGACAGAUUAAGAGCUCUUUCUUGAUUCGGUGGGUGGUGGUGCAUGGCCGUUCUUAGUUGGUGGAGCGAUUUGUCUGGUUAAUUCCGAUAACGAACGAGACUCUAGCCUACUUAAUAGAGAACCGAUUUCCUCUCGUCGGUUACUCUUCUUAGAGGGACAAGCGGCGUUUAGCCGCCCGAGACAGAGCAAUAACAGGUCUGUGAUGCCCUUAGAUGUCCGGGGCCGCACGCGCGCUACACUGAAGGAAUCAGCGUGUGUUCACCCUGGCCGAAAGGUCUGGGUAACCCGUUGAACCUCCUUCGUGAUAGGGAUAGGGGCUUGUAACUAUUCCCCUUGAACGAGGAAUUCCCAGUAAGCGCGAGUCAUAAGCUCGCGUUGAUUACGUCCCUGCCCUUUGUACACACCGCCCGUCGCUACUACCGAUUGAAUGAUUUAGUGAGGUCUUCGGACUGGUGCUCGGAGCGGCUCUCGGGUCGCCCCGGCGCACCGAAAAGAUGACCAAACUUGAUCAUUUAGAGGAAGUAAAAGUCGUAACAAGGUUUCCGUAGGUGA
Molecule: ribosomal RNA, 1742 nt
Filed under: Hendea bucculenta
Lineage: Eukaryota; Metazoa; Arthropoda; Arachnida; Opiliones; Triaenonychidae
Description: SSU rRNA
Rfam family: Eukaryotic small subunit ribosomal RNA
Source: RNAcentral